RNAcentral lists this ribosomal RNA (407 nucleotides) under Mandarina ponderosa. RNAcentral's name for it is "partial 16S ribosomal RNA". The record is from RNAcentral. Lineage: Eukaryota; Metazoa; Mollusca; Gastropoda; Stylommatophora; Camaenidae.
AGUUUUGAGCUAAAUAUAUUAUAAUAUUAGUUAUUUAUAAAGGUGUUGUAAAACCUUAUUAAAAAUUAUAUUUAGGGGUGAUAGGCCUUUCAAAAACUAAGAUAUCUUGAAUCUAAUUAAAAGUAUGUAGUACAUUCGACACAACUAUUAAGUGAUUAGGCUUUAUAGAAUUAUUAACUUAUAAAGAUUUUAUUUACUAUAAUUUAAUAAUUAAGUAUGCAAAUAUAUUAAUAUAUAUAUAUUAUAAUUUAUAAAGAGUAAUUAGAUAAAUUAAAGUUCAUAAAUUUUGUAAUAAUGUUAAUAUUAGUAUUAAGUUUAUAUUUAUAUGAUGAACUCGGCAAAAAUGCUUCUCAACUGUUUAUCAAAAACAUAACUAUGUGAAUUAAUACAUAGCGGUUUCUGCUCAA